CAAGUUGAUCCAAACUGUAAGCUGAUGGAGAUGGUUAUUUAUUACCUGCUUCAAGACAAAGCUUGCCCUCUUCAUAAUUGUCUGCCCCAUCAUCCAAGGGAAGAUGAAAAGAGACAGAAUAAUUUCAGUUGGAGCAGGGUCAGAACAGCAGCAUCAUCUUCAAGCAAACAAUGAGAUACUUUCAGACUCACACAGAACAUGAACACCACCAACUCUGCUCUCUCAGAACAUUUAACCACAGGUACUUUUUGCUUGCUUUGUUCUAGAAAAGAUUGCACCCCAUGGAGGUUCCCAUAAGAUGAAGACAGACAAGAUAGCUGAAAAAAAUUGAAUACUAAAGGAGUGUCAGAUUAACAAAUUAAAAGCAACCCCUAGCCACAACCCACUGGUUUUAAUUUGUUAAAGUUUUGUUAAGCACUGAUAAAAAGACCACAGGUGGUUCACAGCAGAACUCUAAAUGGCAAAUUCAGUGUAAAGGAAAGGUCAGUGCAGGCAGUGACCCACAGCUGAAGGUAAAUAUGCAGAGUAAGCUCUUCACUAUGCAGUAAAUAUCCACACAACAGAUUUCACUGCCUAUUUGAUUGGUAUCCUGUCUCUCACACAGGACCAGAUGAACUUCAGUCCAAGUGGGAUCAUUAAAAUCACAAAUAGGUUGCAGCUCAAGAUGAGAUGCAAAGUUAUUCUCAGAGUUUCCACAUUAUUCAUGGUAAGCUCCACAACUCCCACACACUUGGAGGCUGUAAGAAAAGGCUCUUCAGUCACCAGGAUUCUUUCCACCCAAAGCCACCAGCAGCAGGUCACUGGACAGAGGAUCUGGGCACCAAAGGGUGCCCAAAGCCCUUUGGAGCAUCCAUCUCUCAGCUAAGAAAGCACAUGGAACCACUCUGGAAGAAGCUCAGUCCCAUCUGCUGGAUGCAAACACCCACCCUGACUGUCACCCUGCUCCUGGGGGCCAGCUCUGCACUUCUUCCAACCUGAUCUAAUUACUACUGGCUAAUUACUGCAGGCUUGGGACCCUUCCUGACUGGGGCUUUCUGGACUCAGCUGCAAGACCUUCCAUUUCUCAGAAAAAAAUGUGCAAAACCAUCCAAACAGUCCCUACCACAACUGGAAAGGACUUGGCAGAACGCUGGAUUAUGAAGGCAAAAAUUGCAUGGAAGCUCUUAGAUUAAAGAUGUAAAUAAAAUAUUUGGAGUUUGCAUGAAUAAUUUCAGAAUGUAUGGUCUGAAGCUUCCUGUUCAUGUAGUAAAAUUUAAUCCAUUUCUAAACAUUUCUGAUUGAAGCAGGCUGAGUGAGAGGUUAAAACAUGCAGGAGUAAAGUGAUUGCUGCCUCUCCCUAAGGCAGUCAUUAAGUUCAGAAUCAGUUAGCAACUGGGGUGGAGAUUUUUAUCUAGAAAAACAGGUAAAUAAAGUCACAAAACUUAGGGAAACCACAGUAUCAAACGUGACAGAGCAACUGUUGAGUCAAACAAAAAGCAGAGCAGAAAACAGCUAUAUGGAGGUAAUGUCUCUUUUUCCUGCAGUAGGAACACAAAGAAAAUUCAUUUUCUACACAGACUGUAAGGCCAGCAGAGUGAGUUUGAAGAUGAAGAACACUUUGCUCUCUCUCAACACCUCACCCAGGAAAAACACCAGAAACACACUGACCUGAUACUCUGACCUUCAGAGCAUAUUUCAGCUUCAAUUCUAUUUUUAAAUUAAUUGCUGGGAAAAGGCAUGAGUCACAGCCCUGCCUGGAUCCCCCUGCACUGGACACUCACCAAGGGCUCUGCUCAUUCUGAACUUUCCCAAGUCACAGCAGGCUCCUGCUUUAGCACCUCAGUGUGAAGAACAAGGUUCAGCUCCCUCAGCCACCUAGGAAUCCCAGCCUCUGUGUCCAUCUUGAUCCUCCCAAUUCUGGCCCAGGUGUUUGCUGCACACACCAGGAAGCUCUGGGAUGCUGCCAAGUGUUCCUGCCAGGAAGGGAUCCCAGCUCAGCUGCCCUUGGCACCUUCCUUGUGCUCAGGCUGCAGUGUUGACUCCCACCUGCUGACAGUGAAGGUCAACAGAACCUAAAGAGAGGCCUCAGGGAAGCACAGGUGAGAAAUUCAGGCUCUGCACUUACAGGUACAGCUGGAAUUUGGAGGGUCCCACAGUCAAAACUCCCUGUUCCAGCACUUGGAGAAGGGGAACUGUGCAAGCAAUGAGGAAUACAUCACCCAUGUGCUGAUGGAGGUCAGCAGCCUGUGGGGCUCAGCUUUGUGCCCUCCCCAAACCCAGUUUAGGAGCAGCCAAAUGAUUAUGUACGCAGUCACAUUUUGGAUUUCUUGAUUUCCCCUUCUUCCUGUGUCAUCCAGUUCAUUCCCUCUGGAGCAGGAGGCUGCUCCACACUCCCCUGGCACUGUGGAUGUCUGAGGCAGUGAGGCCCAUGCUGCUGACUCACCUACACAAACCCUCAGCACUUUGAUUGGGUCCAGGCUCUUCAUUACAAAGAAGCCUUUUAAGACAUCAGAAAUAAAUCAUCUGCCUGGUUGCCUUUAAUGAAAGCUCUGCUACACAGGAAAAAGGGGGAGGGAGCACGAAACAAUAUCCACGGUGGAACAGCCCAGCCAGAAAAGAGGGAUGUCUGAGGAACAGAAUGAAAGACUUGAGAAUUAAGUCAAGAAGAGAAACAAUAAAGUAUGGAAAUGGAGCAGGAAGGUAUAAACAGGAAAGUUACAAAUGGAAUGAAAGGCUGAAGUGACUUUUUUUUUGGUGAAAGAACACCACACCUCAUUAGGACAAAGAGGCAGUAACAUGUUCCCAUGUCCCAGCUUCCCGUGCAACAAUCCCCGGUUCUUUUAGUGGAUUUCAGCUGUAAGAGCAGAAGAAAACAUUUCCACACAACUGGUGGGGACUUCAAAAGCAGCUAACAAGGCUGAAAUCAAUCUCUCUUCUCUUAAAAGUUUUACAUAGCAAAGCUCUGUAACAACUGCCCCAAGUAGUCUCUUAACAAUGGUGAGGAGUUCACAACGAGCUGCUCAGGGCUAUGAUUCAUUCGUGGCUCUCUGCCAGAAAAAUAAAUACAUUCAAGACCAGUGGCCCCAAGGGGAAAGGUAGGCCACUCUUAAAAAGCACGAGAUGAAUGAUUUACAGAGCAGAAUCCAGUUUUCAGCCCAUAUGGAUGAGGAGGAAGGACUUUUUUACAUCUCCCAGAGAUUUAGUGCACGGACUUGGAUACUGGCAGUGCAUCAACAGAUGGAGGGAACUGGGAACUGUCGAGCUGGGAUUUGCAAAACUCGCUCCAAAGAGCGAGAAAUGAUUUCUUAUAUUGCUGUGCACAGUUCAUAAAGCCAAACCAAGCCGUGCAGUGGGUAUGGAGCAACACAAGCCAUACACAGGCAGCUCAGGUUACAGGAAGUGCAGUAAAGUCCCACCUGUGCAGGGACAGAGGGAUCCUCUGGCAGAGUGACAGUGACAAACAGCUCAGGGCUGGGCAGGGCCUGACUCCACACAGCAUCUGCUGCACAUAAAAAGAGUUAAUUAGCUGCUAAGCAGCCAGCAGUACUUCACUCUUGUCCUUUCUCCCCAAAGAACAUUAUUGCUGGGGUAAACGCUCAGGCAGCAAGGUGCAGGAGGGAGCCUGGGCUUUCACUGUGGGAGUGAGGCCAGCUCACCUCACACCAGCCUGAUGUGUCACUGCCCUCUCCUGCUCUGAGCCACCCUUUCAGUACCCAGCACCUUCAGAAACACCAAACCCCACUUUUAAGAGUGGCUUUAACAUUCAGAACAUUCUCUUUAACAUUAUUGCACAGGGCUUUUACCUUUUCCAAGCAGCAAAGAAAGCUGCUUUGAAAUGCUAGCAACUGCAUUUCAUCAUUAAAAAAUUCCAGAUUUACCUGGAAGUGCCUUAAAUCCCCUAGUUCCACUUCUUAUAAUAAAAACCAAACUGGGGACUUUGGCCUCUUACUAACAGGGCCAGAGAAUGCCAGGGCCACACAAACAUUUUUCCCCCCAUAAAAAGGUUGUACCAUCAGCAAAGGGACAUUGGAGGGGAUUUGUUUCACACAUUCUAGCACCAAUGGAUAAUGCAAAGUGUGAGGAGCCUGCCUCUGACCUUAGAAAGUUACCCAGUUAUGUAGUUCCUAUUUCACAGUAAACAUUUCCUGAGUGUGGGUUCCAAUUUCAAACUCAAAUCUUUAAAAAGAAUCAGUAUUUAAACAUUUCCCUGUGAUUAAAGCAAGCCUGUGUGAGUCCUAUUGCAUACAACAA
Serinus canaria (Common canary) is the source of this 4230-nucleotide long non-coding RNA. RefSeq lists it as uncharacterized. The transcript has 2 exons. The record is from RefSeq and is a predicted model, not a curated record. NCBI's taxonomy places the organism in Eukaryota, Metazoa, Chordata, Aves, Passeriformes, Fringillidae.